CACGUAGGGUGCGAGCGUUGUCCGGAAUUAUUGGGCGUAAAGAGCUCGUAGGCGGUGUGUCGCGUCGGCCGUGAAAACCUGCAGCUUAACUGUGGGCGUGCGGUCGAUACGGGCAUCACUGGAGUUCGGCAGGGGAGACUGGAAUUCCUGGUGUAGCGGUGAAAUGCGUAGAUAUCGGGAGGAACACCAGUGGCGAAGGCGGCUGCCUGGGCCAGUUCUGACGCUGAGGCGCGAAAGCGUGGGGAGCAAACAGG
Molecule: ribosomal RNA, 254 nt
Filed under: uncultured bacterium
Lineage: Bacteria
Description: partial 16S ribosomal RNA
Rfam family: Bacterial small subunit ribosomal RNA
Source: RNAcentral